Molecule: long non-coding RNA, 37117 nt
Filed under: Homo sapiens (human)
Lineage: Eukaryota; Metazoa; Chordata; Mammalia; Primates; Hominidae
Description: non-protein coding lnc-EGFR-4:6
Source: RNAcentral
GCAUUGCGGAGCUCGCUAGUUGGGGCGUUGGCCUUCCUUAGGAGUGUGAGUCUAGCGUUAUCCCUUUUUUCCGGCUGGAUCCCGGGUUACCCCACCAGCCCGACCUCAACCCACUCACGUCCACAGCACGAGCCCCAGCGGCCUUGCGCGGUGCUUGCUCUCUAGUAGCGGCUGACUAGGUCAGUCAGGAUCUUUGAUUUUGGAGCACAAGCCUUCUGCGUGCUACUGACUGGGUCCUGGCCUCCCUCCUUCCAUGGCAUCGUCGUGAAUGGGAAUUUCCACCACUGCCUCCAUUAGUCAGAAGAUUGAACAUGUUGUAACUGUAGAAAGCCCGUCAUCCUUGUGUAUGCACUUGCUGAAAGAUCCACUGAAGAGCAACCUUCAUGAACAUUACCAGGGGACUUGUGCUCCUAUAAAACGCACUGUUUUCCUCACUGCGAGGUGGGUCUCUCACCGCGAUGGACUAUCUGUGAUCACAGAGCACUUCUUCCCUGGGCCUUCCCUGUCACACUGAUGGUGUGAGUAUGUAGGGCAGGGGUGGGAGUGAACAUGUUAAUCUCUUUUGAAUAAACUGAUUUUGAAGUAGAUGUCUCAAAAAAAAGUUUGUCGCAAUACUUUCUGGGUAGUGACAUUAAUUCUCCCCACCAAGAGUAGUAGUUUGGAGUUAUUACUUAUAAGCAGUGUGGCUUAUUUAAUAGUUUUAUUCCCAAUGCAUUUCAGGCCACACAUCUUCAACGUAUAAAGUGUUUGUGUAGGGGAGAAUUAAAGUAAAACAGAGAGCCACUUCUUCCUCCCAACCUGUCUCCAGUGAUUCCAGAGAGAAUGCGGCAGGUCAUAAGUACAGAACAAUGCUUUGCACCUGAAAUAAACCAAUAAAGUAAGGCGGACACAGGAGAUGACUCAAUCCCAAUUUAGGUUUUGGGGACAGAAGGGCUGACCGUCCCGGGGAUGUGGCCUUGAGUGUUCUCUGUACCCCGUGCAAUUUUCCACAGGAGCCUUGGCAGAGAGCUGCUGUCAGAGUCUGGGGCUUGGUCCAUCCAGAGCUGGGCAGCAUCACCUCCCAUGCCCUGCCCAGUGCUGCCUGGGCUUAGAAGCUGGCAUGGGCUCUUGGUGCAGGCAUGCACACACACACCAGCAAUGAGGUCCACACAUCAGUCGCCCCAAACUCAAACCCCUGGACUCUCGCACGCCAGAUGAGAGCAUGCUACGGUUCUUCAGUUAUGUUGAGAAAAGACGUAAAUAGCAAUAAUCUUGAAACAAUGUUAGGGAAAUAAAAGCACAAGUGUAAGCCAGAAAAGAAGUCAGCUGUCAAUAUAACAACAAAUAUAAGAACAAAAUCAGAAGCCCGGGUGUGGUGGCUCAUGCCUGUAAUCCCAGCACUUUGCGGGGCUGAGGCAGGCGGAUCACGAGGUCAGGAGUUCGAGACCAGCCUGAACAACAUGGUGAAACCCUGUCUCUGCUAAAAAUACAAAAAUUAGCUGGGCAUGGUGGCAUGCGCCUGUAACCCCAGCUACUCAGGAGGCUGAGGCAGGAGAAUCACUUGAACGUAGGAGGCAGAGGUUGCAGUGAGCCGAAAUCGGGCCACUGCACUCCAGCCUAGGCGACAGAGUGAGACUCCGUUUAAAAAAAAAAAAAAAAAAAAGAACAAAAUCAGAAUGUGUAACUUUCAGGGGUAGCAGAGAAAUUUUGAACUAUUCAGAGGAAGUUUAAAAAAAGGAAGAAAAAAGAAACAAAUAAAAUAUAGAGAAUUGAAAAUGUAAAAUAAGAUGAGAGAAACAAAUCUGCUAUAUGAACAACUAUAAUUUGGGGAAGAUUGAAGUGAGUGUGCAUAUCCCUGAGACUGGUGAGGAACGUGUGCGUGGACAUGAACAUGUGGAUGGGAUGCCCAGGGGUGCAUACAGAGCUGGGAGGGGGAGCCAGGGCGUGGGCCAUGGGCAGGCUGCCCCCCCGCAGCCUUCCCUCCCAUAUACCUCCUAUCGGGGAAAUUCAGGAAUCCCAAGCUCUGUAGAACUUGGCCUUCUACAUCAUUAGGCAGUCAUCUCUACCAAGGAAGGAGGAGAGAACUUUUUAAAUGUACUUUUAAAAUUGUUUAUUUAAACAUUUUUUACUUAUCAAAUUAAAGUUUGUGGGUUUGAUGUAUAACUUUUAAAUAUUUGGACAUGUGUGAGAGUGUCUUUGAGCAUCAUGUGUGGGCCAGGCAGUGAGGGCCCUGAGACGUGGGCAGAUCCUGGCAAUCCAAAGAGCAGAUCCAGCUGGUCUUGCUAGGGGACUGGAGCUGGGGAGUCAAAGAAAGGGGGGCCCAUGGACCCACAGUGGACUCAGUUGCCACCACAAGGGAUAGGGAAGGCCGUGUGUGGAGUGGAUUUGGGGAAGAGCAUUCAGGAUUUCACUGUUGGGAAUGCUGAUCACGAAACAUCCACGGGAGCUGCCAAGUAGGCAUUUGGAUGUGUGGGUCUCCAGGUCAGGAGAGGGUCCCAGGUAGACUUCCAUUCAUGGACAGCAGCAGGCAAAUGGAAUUUACAGCCAUCAUAGAUGGGGACAGCAGCAAGCAUGUGACUGUAGACAGAGAAGAAGAGGAGUGAGGACUGAGCCCUGGAAUCUUCCGAUGUUAGCCAGUAACUCACUUUACUCAAUGCAUCACACAUUCAGGUAUUUGAAGUAUAUUUUUAAGGGUCUUGUAAGAGGUUGGAGAAAAUCUAACGCUAUUCAAAGCUAACUGGAGUCUAUUGAAAUUCUCUGAAAAGUUUUAAAGUAAAACUGUUUCUUCUAUCAAUCUCCUUGAUUUCAACAAGGUUUUCUUAACUUUUUAAAGCAAAUUCCAGAAUGUUUUGCACAAAAUUAAAAUUAAAGGGUGUUGCCUGUGGGCACCUUAAAGAGUCUCUUUGAUAAGUCUGCAUAUUGGCUUAUUGCUCAAGAGAGAUAAGUUGGGCUCCCCAAUUUUUAUAACAUACUGUCAACUCUGUAGUCACACUGUCUAUUUCAUGUCGUUGCUUGUUAGAAACAGACUAUCCGCACUGAGCAGAAAGUACCAGUAACUAUUCUCUGCUGCAGCAGCUGCCCAUGAUGCAUUGCGUGGUGAGCCCUCGCCCUCAGUUUUCUGCCAGGUAUCUCUCUGCCCUGCUUCCUCUGGGCUCUCCCUGAAGUUGGGGGACACUCAAUCAUCACAAACCUUGAGAUGGAGGAGGGUAAAAUGCCCAGGAAAAUCAUCAACCAAUGGAAAAGAAAAUGCAGUGAAUUAAUUCCCUGGGCUGGUUGCUCCUGCCUUAGCCUCCCAAAGUGCCAGAGGAACACUUGAGGCCAAACGUUCGAGACCAGCCUGGCCAACAUGGUGAGACCGCCCCCCUGCCGUCUCUGCAAAAAAUGAUACUAAAAAUUAAGUGCCAGCCACCUUUGUCUAGCGAGACAUGUUCUGUGUGAAUGGGGUCCCGGUGAACAGAGACCUAGUUGUGCACCCAGGAACGAGCUCAUGAACAUACCCUAUUCUGACUUUCCUCCCUUCUGUCUUACUUUUCUAGCCACUUCCUUUGGUACCAGUCCCAAAUAAAGUAUCUGCUCAGGUAUCUAAGGAAAGAUACUCCUAUUAAAUAGCACAGGCUCAACUUUAUUUUGAACUCUCUAGAAGGAUAUUACCAUAUAGGUAGUGUGGAAGAUUAUCAAAUGAAAAGAUCUUGUAUUACUGUACUAGCUUCAGGCCUUUGCAGUGGCUAUUUGCUCCACCCUAAAUGUUCUUUCUCGAGAUGGUUCACUCCCUCACAUCCCUCGCAAUGGAAAUUCAAAUGUCACCCUCCUAUGUGGCCUGGCCAGGCCAUCUUGGAGACCAGCACACCUCACCCUAUGUCACUUCUCUUGUAAUUUUUCUUCAUAGCAUCAUCUGACAUCAUAUAUGUUUUAUUAGUUGUUUGCCUACAAAAGCAAAAAGGACAGGGGUUUUACCUAUUUUUUACACCAAUAUAUCCAGCUUUGCCCACAAUAGACUUGGUACAAAUAGGCACUCAAAUUUUUGUCAAAGCAAAAUUUAUAGGGCAAUAUUUGUCUAAAGGAUAUGGCCAGAAACAUGCUUUUUUCCUUCAAGAUAUUUUUUAAAAUCUUCCAGUAAGCAUUAUACAUUUAUUGUGGCAUCUUUUCAUGUUGCGGGAAGACAGGAAUCCCGAACAGAGGGACUGGCUGAAGCCAUGGCAGGAGAACAUAAAUUGUGAAGAUUUCAUGGGCAUUUGUUAGGUCUCCAAAUUAAUACUUUUAUAAUUUCUUACGCCUGUCUUUACUGCAGUCUCUGAACAUAAACUGUGAAGAUUUCAUGGACAUUGAUCACUUCCCCAAUCAAUAUUCUUAUAAUUUCCUAUGCCUGUCUUUACUUUAAUCUCUUAAUCCUGUCAUCUUCGUAAGCUGAGGAUGUAUGUCGCCUCAGGACCCUGUGAUGAUUGCGUUAACUGCACAAGUUGUUCGUAAAGCAUUUUUGUUUGAACAAUAUGAAAUCUGGCCACCUUAAGAACAGGAUAACAGCAAUUUUCAGGGAACAAGGGAGAUAACCUUAAAGUCUGGCUGCCUGUGGGCCAGGCAGGACAGCCAUAUUUCUCUUAUUACCAAAAACGGGUAAGAGAAAUAUCACUGACUUUUUUCCCUGGUAAGGAAUAUUAAUAAUUAACAGCCCUGGGAAAAGAAUGCAUUCCCCGGCAGAGGGGGGCCUCUAAAAUAGCCACUCUGGGGGGUGUCUGCCUUGUGCAGUUGCAGAUAAGGGAUGAAACAUGCCCUGGCCUCCUGCAGCACCCCCAGGCUUGCUAGGAUUAGGAAAUUCCAGGCUGGCAAAUUCUAGUCGGACCGGUUCUCUGCUCUUGAACCCUGUUAAGAUGUUUAUGACAAUGCGUGCACAGUGGGACGUGGAACUUCAUUAGUAAUUCUAGUUUUGCCCUGACCUUGUGAUCUCGUCCUGACCUUCUGCCUUGUGAUCUUUUGUUGCCCUUGAACCAUGUGAUCUCUGUGACCCACACCCUAUUUGUACACUCCCUCCCCUUUGAAAAUUGCUAAUAAAAACUUGCUGGUUUUACAGCUCAGGGGGCAUCACGGAACCUGCCGACAUGUGAUGUCUCCCCCGGACACCCAGCUUUAAAAUUUCUCUCUUUUGUACUCUUUCCCUUUAUUUCUCAGACCGGCCAACAUGUAGGGAAAAUAGAAAAGAACCUAUGUUGAAUUAUCGGGGGCUAGUUCCCCCGAUAUUUUUGUGUUGGCUAAAUUUAAUACUCAGUUAUAGCAAUUUUUUUGAGACAGGGUCUCACUACGUUGCCCAGGCUGGCACAGUGGUACAAUCUCGGCUCACCACAACUUCUGCCUCCUGGGCUCAAGCUAUCCUUCCACAUCAGCCUACUGAGUACUUGGGACUACAGGCAUGACCCCACACCUGGCUAAUUUUUUGUUUGUUUUUUGUAGAGACAAUGUCACUAUGUUGCCUAGGCUGGUCUCAAACUCCUGGGCUCAAGCGAUCCACUUGCCUUGGCCUUCCAAAAUGCUGGGAUUACAGGCAUGAGCCAUCAUGCCCAGCCAGUUAUAGCAAUUUUCUUAUCAUUUGGUUUAGCAUUCAAUAAAUGCUAGUUAAUAUUUCUGUUGACAAAUAUUUUCAGAGUUAGCAGAUAACUAGACAGAGGAAAUCAGCCUAAGUGAAACAAAUGACAAUUUGACCACUAAUACAUUUAAAUUUGCUAAAGUCAAAUACAUUUCAGUGUAUUAAAAUAGAUUUUCAUCUCGGUUUUAAAGGUCUCUGGUGAAAGACCCCAGAUAGAUGUGGAAAUGUUUUGAAGUAAAGUCAGUGCUGGACAUAAGUUCUCAGAUCUGAUGGGUGAACUCACUUAGAUCGAAGCAACGUGGGAUCAAAGCCACUUACAAAAUUGCAGUACACUCUGAAUUUUAGAAUAAAGACAUUCUUAGGGACACAUAAAUAAAAUCACACUGUUCUCUGAAGUUAGACUGUCAUGUAGAUGGUUGGUGCCAAUUAACGUUAUUACUGGUAAAUGUUCUACUGAGGAGGACAGAUUAAACCAUCUGUUUAGACUGUGAGAUAUUCCUUCAGCAGUGAGGUAGGAAUCCUUCCUGCCACCUUUUAACAAAGGACAAUAUCAUUCUGUGUCUUACUGGUAUACACGUUAUGAAAGAUUAUUUCACUUCCUUACACAUGCUCAAUGGGGUUUCCAAGUUUCCAGAAAUGUUUUCUUCUUCCUAAGAAAAUUAGUUCUUAUCCAUCUUAAAUAUUUUCUUACCAAUUCAUUGAGGUUCUCAAAACAAUGAAAUGAAUCAUUGAAGAAAUGCUCCUACACAGACAGAAAAACACCUAUAAUUCUUGCUGAUCAGAGUUCUUUACAGAGGAAAUUCCAGAAUACAUGUUAGUCUGCAGAGUACUCCUAAGAUCUUCUAAAGGGCUAUUAAUUUAAAAAUACAUAAACAAAAUAAUGUCAAUACAAUUUUCCUCAGCCCCUCCUAGAGGCCCCUGGCUCAUUUGUUUGUAAACACCUUUUCCCUGCUGUUCUCAUGUUAGCAUAUCUUCGCAUCGUUACUAUAGUUGGUAUCAUUUUGUUUAUGAUUUUUUUUAUUUUUACACACACAAAAAUAUUUUGCUAUAUCACUAAUUUUUUGUGUUGGCCAAAGCAUUUCACGGAGAAGAACACACACACAUGCACACACACACACACAGAAAUGUCGCCUUUUAUCAUAAACAUGGUAGUUGAAGAAUGAUCAGAAAUCACCUUUCUGUUCUCAGGGAUUUAUAGAAACAUAAUGAAAACCCAAAACAGGAAGCAUUGCUUUUUCUGCAAAGAGGAGAUUCCCAUCGUAUGAGGUCUUGACACAGUUAUUCUAUUUUCUUUGAAGUAAAUGUGAGUUUGUGUGUUUAAUUCCACUCUGGGGCUUUCCUGUUUCUUUUUAUAGAGUGUCUCUACUUCCAUCAAAUAUGGCUUUUCACAUGUUUUUUACUUUAACUGUGGCUUUAUGGGAAUAAGAUUCUUAACCAAGUAUAUACAGACAAUUUCCUGUAAAGUUUCCUGACUUUAUGCAGGUCUCCAUUAUGAACACUGAUUGAUAAAAAUCUACUAAGAGAAAUUGUAGUGCCUGUCAUCCCCGCUUCACCCUAAACUCAUUUCCUGCCAGGCCAAACUCUUGAAAUAGUUCAAGCACAGUAAUCCUAAGAAUACAACAAAUUACGUGCUGAUCUCAUUGGAGAGCAUUAAGUUUGUGGUUUGCCAGGAGUUCAUUUCUAAGUAAUGCUAAGAUAGAUCACUUGCCAAAAAAAAUAAAAAAUAAAAAAAGCUAUUUAAUGUUUCAGUUGAGCAGUGAUUUAUUUUCAAAAAUAUUUCCAGAUGUUCCAAUUCACCUACACUUUAUAAGGCCACAUUUCUAAAAGCAAGUGGCAUUGACUUCCAGCUACUCCAUCAAGUUAUCCACUUUUGUUUAAUUCGUUGAAAGAAAGAUGCCUAUUUAUCUCACCUCAGGGUCUUCUUGGUGCGGGAAGUCCCCAGGGUAGAUGUCCUGAGAGUCAACAGUGAAGCCGCAUGGGGAGACUUGUGCCACAUCUGCUUCCAGUCAGUCCCUCUGCUGAGGGCCACAGGGCCGCUGCUGCUCGUGAGAAUUCCGGCUCUCAUGGCCUCCCACUGCCAAAGAGAAGAAAGGGCCAAACUGCCAAGUGACCUUCAUCAUACCACAUGCUUCUCAGUGUAAACACGUUCCUGGGGACGUAUACUAAAGUCAGAAUGGUAUACCUUUCCUUCAUUCCACUGUCAGAGAGUAUGUAUGCAUUCCUCAGACUGGGGUUUUAAACCUUGGCUCUCGCUCAAAUGUGAAGUAAUCAGAAGUGAUAUGUUGAUAAAUUGUCUACUUGUUUGAUGUAAGCAGGGAAAAGCCAUUUUCCAUGUAGAGUUUGAAAAUCAUACUUAGUUUACUUACACUAAGUACAAAGAAAGUUCCACCCUCCUACUGAAUAGGAGACUUAUUGAACCUGCUGCUUGACAGUUGCUUAAAAAUAUUUUAAUAUUAGCUGUAGGCUCCUAGAAACAAAAAGUGUAUUUAUAAAAAAAUUACAUUUUAGGCCAGGCACGGUGGCUCACACCUGUAAUCCCAGCACUUUGGGAGGCUGAGGCGGGUGGAUCACGAGGUCAGGAGAACAAGAUCAUCCUGGCUAACAUGGUGAAACCCCGUCUCUACUAAAAAUACAAAAAUUAGCUGGACGUGGUGGUGGGUGCCUGUAGUCCCAGCUACUAGGGAGGCUGAGGCAGGAGAAUCGCUUGAACCCAGGAGGUGGAGGUUGCAGUGAGCUGCGAUCACGCCACUGCACUCCAGCCUGGUGACAGAGCUAGACUCUGUCUCCAAAAAAAAAAAAAAAAAAGACAUUUUAUAAAAUGAUCUUUCUCUGCAGAAAGCUGGCUAGUAAUGGAUAUUCAGUGGGUUAAUUAUACUUACUGUAAAUGGGAUUCUAAUUUACUGACAUUAAGUGCACAUUGCUUUUGGAGUAAUAUCCAAUUAAUACAUUACCCAUUAAGAGUCCUCUUCACAGGGCCUGUAAUGCCUACUGCACAGUUCACUGACUUAAGUGUACAGUGUGCACACAUGGGGCUCUGAGAAGCUUCUGCUUAGAUCCCUGUCUGAGCUAAGACUCUGUGGUAGUGUGGAAUGAUGAUCAACACUCCUUUGGACUGGCCAGAUGCGAAUUCAAACCAGCUCUACCUAUCGUUCACUGGCUAUGCGAACUUAAUGUCUCCUCACUUGUAAAAUGCAGAUAUUACAUCUUCUCACCACUGUGAGCAAUAAGGCACUAAACUAGCAUGCUUAAUACGGUCUCUGGAACAUCAUAAGUGCUCAAUAUAGAAUCCUAUUUUUAUUACAAUUAUCAUUUUUCCAUUUGUUUUCAUCAACUACAGACCAUCUUAAUUAUCUAUUGUGGAAUUCUACUGCAUGUCUCCUUGAACAAGAAUUAAUUAUUUACAAAAAAAAAAAAAGAAAGAGAAGCCAGUAUUCUUUUCUCAAGCUAUAUCAUGUAUUCAGUCUUUUUGAAAUGUCAUCUUUUCCUUGAUUACCUCAAGAACAUUAUUUUCUGGGUUGGUUGUGGAUCUUUUUCAUCAGAGACCUUCCACUAUAGGAGAUGUUCUCUCCUGUGUUACCAGAAGUCACAAGUUAGAAAGCCUGGGCACACUGCCCUGCUGGGCGCCUUCGGGAGACAGCUGCACAGGACAGCUCUGAACUGGAUGGGACUUCCUUAGAGCAUUGCUGUGGUUUUUGUCUCUGUUUUACACCCCACCCUGAAUUCUAGCUAGCUCAUGUGCAUGUGCAAACCGCAGAAUAUUGGAUGUAAAAUUGGAAAGCUCACACCGUGAAACUUGCCAGGAAGAGUGUCGCUGUGUUUACAGAAAGUAAAAUGGUGUUGAACAGUGUUGAACAACGAUUUUGAACAAUGGAGCAGCCAUUUUCAGCUCUGGUGCAGUGCAGAAAGCAACUCUUCCUGCCAGACAGACUUAAAACCUCCAGCUUCCUUUUCUGAUUUGCCUUCAGCUAGGCCUGUGUGCUUCUGCUUUUUAUUCAUUUCAUGGGAGUUACGCUUUCCUGCAUCUUUCUGCAGACUCCUUCACAUAGAAAUUUUCCUAGACAAGGUCAUCAUUUGUAAGCCCUCCUUUGUCUUUGGUUUGCAGCUACCUGUUGAAAAUAGGUCCACAUUGGUUUAUUUCUACCACAGAUUUUGGAUUGAGGAAGAUGCAUCAGGUGCAGUCUGGGAAGAGUGACCAUUUGUCCUCGUAUGUCAGACUGCAGCUCCUAUUCCAACAUAAUUAAUAGUGCACUUUUACUUGCUAAGUGAUCUAGUUUAGAAAAUACACUAUAUGAUCACCCUGAAUCUCAGCCCCCAGAAAGGGUGAACAUAAAGUCAUCAAUUUUAUUACUGCUCAUGGCACUGCCCCUCUCCGUAGUGAGGAGACUUGCAGGAAUAGGUUGAUUUGCAUCUUCCUGGAUUUGUUUAUGUUUAUCCUUUUGUUUGUUUCUCCAGUUGGAGUAUGUUGCAAUGAACCGCUCACGGAAUGGAAUCACGGAAGAACUUAUUGGAAGGGGAACCAAGGCAGCUCCAAGGUUUUCCACUCAGGGGCUCGUGGCUGUCCCCAUAGAGUGCUUCUACUGAUACACUGAGGGGCCCAUAAUUUCCACUUUGUAGGUUCAUACGUUUCUAGAUUCUCAGCUCCAAAUUACACAAUCCUGGCACAAAAUUCGACUGGCUGAGUUUGAGUUAAAUAUUUACUGACUCUAGCAGGAGGCAGGGCUCCUUACCACAGACAGGGUGGUUGGCAGCAACCACUGUGUAUUGGGAGAGUUUUCAGAGAAAAGUGAAUUGGAGUCAGGCAGCCAUCCUAAGUGGUGUCUACUCCAUUUAUUUUUUCUUUUUCAAAUUUAUUUAAUUUUAUUUUUUUUUAUUUCAAUAGGUUUUUGGGGAGCAGGUGGUGUUUGAUUACAUGAAUAAGUUCUUUAGUGGUAAUUUCUGAGAUUUUGGUGCACCCAUCACCUAAGCAGUGUACACUGUACCCAUUGUGUAGUCUUUUAUCCCUCACCACCCCCACCCUUUCCCCCAUGUCCUCAAAGUCCAGUGUAUCAUUUUUAUGCCUUUGCAUCCUCAUAGCUUAGUUCCCAUACAUGAGUGAGAACAUACAAUGUUUGGUUUUCCAUUCCUGAGUUGCUUCACUUAGAGUAAUAGUCUCCAAUUCCAUCCAGGUUGCUGCAAAUGCCGUCAUUUUGUUCCUUUUUAUGGCUGAGUAGUAGUACAUGGUAUAUAUAUGCCACAUUUUCUUUAUCCACUUAUUGACUGAUGGGCAUUUGGGCUAGUUCCGUAAUUUUGCAAUUGCAAAUUGUGCUGCUAUAAACGUGUGUGCAAGUAUCUUUUUCAUAUAAUGACUUCUUUUCUUUUGGGUAGAUACCCAAUAGUGGGAUUGCUGGAUCAAAUGGUUGAUUUACUUUUAGUUCUUUAAGGAAUCUUCACACUGUUUUCCACAGUGGUUGUACUAGUUUACAUUCCCACCAACAGUGUAAAAGUGUUCCCUUUUCACCACAUCCACACCAACAUCUAUUAAAGAUUUGUUAUUUUCGCUUAGUCUUGCUUUAACUAUGUGGGCUCUUUUUUGGUUCCAUAUGAAUUUUAGGAUUUUUUUUUUCCUAAUUCUGCGAAGAAUGAUGGUGGCAUUUUGAUGGGAAUUGCAUUGAAUUUGUAGAUUGCUUUUGGCAGUAUGGUCAUUUUCACAAUAUUGAUUCUACACAUUCAUGAGCAUGGGCUGUGUUUCCAUUUGUGUUGUCUAUGAUUUCUGUCAGCAGUGUUUUGUAGUUUUCCUAGUAGAGGUAUUUCACCUCCUUGGUUAGGUAUAUUCCUAAGUAUUUUAAUUUUUUUUGCAGCUAUUGUGAAAGGUGUUGAGUUCUUGAUUUGAUUUUCAGCUUGGUCACUGUUGGUAUGUAACAGAGCUACUGAUACGUGUACAUUAAUUUUAUAUCCUGAAAUUUUGCUGAAUUCAUUUACCAGUUCUAGGAGCUUUUUGAAUGAGUCCCUAGGGUUUCUAAGUAUAUGAUCAUAUCAUCAGCAAACAACGAUGGUUUGACUUUCUCUUUACCAAUUUAGAUGCCCUUUCUUUCUUUCUCUUCUCUGAUUGCUCUGGCUAGAACUUCUAGUACUCUGUUGAAUAGAAAUGGUGAAAGUGGGCAUCCUUGUCUUGUUCCAGUUCUCAGGGGGAAUGCUGUCCACUUUUCCCUGUUUAGUAUAAUGUAGGCUGAGGGUUUGUCAUAGAUGGCUUUUAUUACCUUAAGGUAUGUCCCUUCUAUCCCAAUUUUGCUGAGAUCUUUAAUCAUAAAGUAUUGCUGGAUUUUCUCAAAUGUUUUUUCUUCAUCUAUUGAGAUGAUCAUGUGAUUUUUGUCUUUAAUUCUGUUUAUGUGGUGUAUCACAUUUAUUGACUUAUGUAUGUUAAACCAUCCGUGCAUCCCUGGUAUAAAACCCAAUUGAUCAUGGUGGGUUAUCUUUUUGAUAUGCUGUUGGAUUUGGUUAGCUAGUAUUUUGUUGAGUAUUUUUCCAUCUAUGUUCCUCAGGGAUAUUGGUUUGUAGUUUUCUUUUUUUGUUAUGUCCUUUGCUGGUUUUGGUAUUAGGGUGAUACUGGCUUCAUAGAAUGACUUAGGGAGGACUCCCUCUUUCUCUAUCUUUUAGAACAGUGUUAAUAGGACUGGUACCAAUUCUUCUUUGAAUAUCUGAUAGAAUUCAGCUGUGAAUCCGUCUGGUCCUGGACCUUUUUAAAUUGGCAUUUUAAAAAUUACCAUUUCAAGCUCACUGCUUGUUACUGGUCUGUUCAGACAUUCUAUAUUUUCCUGGUUUAAUCUAGGAGGAUUUUAUAUUUCCAGGAACUUAUCCAUCUCCUCUAGGUUUUCUAGUUUAUGUGUAUAAAGCUGUUCAUAGUAGCCUUGAAUAAUCUUUUGUACUUCUGUGGUGUCAGUUGUAAUAUCUCCUGUUCCAUUUCUAAUUGAGUGUAUUUGGAUCUUCUCUCUUCUUUUCUAAUGGGCUAUCAAUUUUAUUUAUCUUUUCAAAGAACCAGCUUUUUGUUUCAUUUAUCUUUUGUUUUUUUUGUUGUUGUUGUUGUUGUUGUUUCAAUUUCAUUUAGUUCUGCUCUGAUCUUGGUUAUUUAUUUUCUUCUGCUGGGUUUGGGUUUGGAUUUUCUUGUUUCUUCUCUAGUUCUGAGAGACGUGACCUUAGACUGUCAGCUUUUGCUCUUUCAGACUUUUUGAGGUAGGCAUUUAACGCUAUGAACUGAAAGGAAAAUAUCUCGGACCCCCAAAAUCACUAAGGAAAACUCAACUAAGGAAACUGCUUAGGGCAAACCUGCCUCCCAUUCUAUCCAAAGUCACUCCUCUGCUUACUGAGCUAGAUGCAUAUCUGAUUUGCCUCCUCCGGAAAGGCUAAUCAGAAACUUGAAAGAAUGUAAUCCUGUAUGACCUAUCUGUGACCUGGAAGCUCCCUCCCUGCUUCUCGUCUUCCUGCCUUUGCUUCAAGUUGUCUCACCUUCCAGACCAAACGAAUGUACUUCCUACAUGUAUUGAUUGAUGUCUCAUAUCUCCCUAAAUGUAUAAAACCAAGCUGUGCCCUUACCACCAUGGGCACAUGUCAUCAGGACUUCCUGAGGCUGUGUCACGGGAGUGUACUCAACCUUGGCAAAAUAAACUUUCUAAAUUAACUGAGACCUGUCUCAAAUUUUGAGGUUCACAGAACUUUCCUCUUAGCACUGUUUUUGCUGUAUCCCAGAGGUUUUGAUAGGUUGUGUCAUUACUAUCAUUCAUUUCAAAGAAUGUUUUAAUUUUCAUCUUUAUUUCAUUGUUGACCCAAUGAUCAUUCAGGAGCAGGUUAUUUAAUUUCCAUGUAUUUGCAUGGUUUUGAGGGUUCCUUUUGGAGUUGAUUUCGAAUUUUAUUCCACUGUGGUCUGAGAAAUUACUUGAUAUGAUUUUGAUUUUCUUAAAUUUGCCAAGAUUUGUUUUGUGCCUAUCAUAUGGUCUAUCUUGGAGAAUAUUCCAUGUACUGAUGAAUAGAAUGUGUAUUCUGCAGUUGUUGGGUAGUAUGUUCUGUAAAUAUCUGUUAAGUCCAUUUGUUCUAGGGUGUAGUUUAAGUCUAUUGUUUCUUUGUUGGCUUCCUAUCUUGAUGACCUGUGCAGUGCUGUCAGAGGAGUAUUGAAGUCCCCCACUGUUACUGUGCUGCCGUCUAUCUCAUUUCUUAGGUCUAGUAGUAAUUGUUUUAUAAAUUUGAGAGCUCCCAUGUUAGGUGCAUAUAUAUUUAGAAUUGUGGUAUUUUCCUGUUGAACUAAUCCUUUUAUCAUUAUAUAAUGUCCCUCUUUGUCUUUUUUAAUUGCCAUUGCUUUAAAGUUUGUUUUGUCUGAUAUAAGAAUAGCUACUUCUGCUCACUUUUGGAGUCCAUUGACAUGGAAUAUCUUUUUCUACCUCUUUACCUUAAGUUUAUGUGAGUUCUUAGGUGUCAGAUGAGUCUCCUGAAGACAGCAGAAACGUGGUUGGUGGAUUCUUAUCCAUUCUGCAAUUCUGUAUCUUUUAAGUGGAGCAUUCAGGCCAUUUACAUUCAAUGUUAGUAUUGAAAUGUGAGGUACUGUUCUAUUCAUUGUGCUAUUUGUUGUCUGAAUACCUUUUUUUAUCAUGUUAUUGUUAUAUAGGUGAGAUUUAUGCUUUAAGGAGGUUCUAUUUUGGUGUAUUUUGAGGAUUUGUUUCAAGAUUUAGAGCUCCUUUUAGCAGUUCUUGUAGUCCUGGCUUGGUAGUGGGGAAUUCUCUCAGCAUUUGUUUGUCUGGAAAAGAUUGCAUCUUUCCUUCAUUUAUGAAGCUUAGUUUCACUGGAUACAAAUUCUUGACUGAUAAUUGUUUUGUUUAAGGAGGCCAAAAGUAAGACCCCAAUCCCUUCUAACUUGUAGGGUUUCUGCUGAGAAAGCUACUGUUAAUCUGAUAGGUUUUCCUUUAUAGGUUACCUGAUGCUUUUGCCUCACAGCUCUUAAGAUUCUUCCCUUUGUCUUGACUUUACGUAACCUGAUGACUAUGUGCCUAGGCAAUUAUCUUUUUGUGAUGAAUUUCCCAGGUGUUCUUUGAGCUUCUUGUAUUUGAAUAUCUAGAUUUCUAGCAAGGCCAGGCAACUUUUCCUCACUUAUUCCCUCAAAUAUGUUUUCCAAACUUUUAGAUUUCUCUUUUUCUUCAGGAACACCAAUUAUUCUUAGGUUUGGAUGUUUAACAUAGUCCCAAACUUUUUGGAGGCUUUGUUCAUUUUCUUAAAUUCCUUUUUCUUUGUCUUUGAUGGGUUAGGUUAAUUUGAAAGCCUUGUCUUUGAGCACUGAAGUUCUUUCUUCUGCUUGUUCAACUCCAUUUAUUUUUUCAAGUUGAGGUCUCACUCCGUCACCCAGGCUGGAGUCCAAUGGUACAAUCACAGCUCAUUGCAGCCUUGAACUCCUGGGCUCAAGCAGUCCUUCCACCUCAGCCUCCUGAGUAGUCUACUCCAUUUUUAUCUGUGCUAUCUCAGUUACUUUUUUUUUGUUUUUUUGAGAUGGAGUUUCACUCUUGUUGCCCAGGCUGGAGAGCAAUGGCAUGAUCUCAGCUCACUGCAACCUCCACCUUCCAGGUUCAAGCAAUUCUCCUGCCCCAGCCUCCCAAGUAGCUGGGAUUACAGGCACCUGCCACCACGCCCAGCUAAUUUUUGUAUUUUUUAGUAGAGACGGGUUUUCACCAUGUUGGCCAGGCUAGUCUCGAACUCCUGACCUCAGGCUAUCCGCCUGUCUCGGCCUCCUAAAGUGCGGGGAUUACAGGAGUGAGACACCAUGCCCGGCCAGUUACAUUUUUAUAAUUGGAACUAUUUUUGCAAUAUGAAGAGUUUAUUGUCUCAAUAUUUCCCUUGACCCUCUCCCACAGUCAUGCCCUGGCCACCUGUGCUCAUUACCUUAAGAACAGGCAUGAGGUAUCAAAAAUGAGAGAAAAAAAUGGACCCUUAAGGAGAGGAAAGUUCUUAUGGGAUGGUAAGAAAAGUAUUAACAGCAAGGAUUCUCGACCAAGAUUAUUGUUCCUUAAAUUAGGGAGAUAUAUAGAGUUGAAAGGAAACUUUGAGAUGAAAAUAUCAGUAGGACCAAGAAAGAGUGACCUCGCACACUCCUUCCCAGACCAUGCCCCAGGGGGAAGACAGAAACUCCAGGCUGAUUUGUGGAUCUGAGACAUUCAGUGUUUUCUGGAGAGACAGCAAGAUCCAGGAAGAGCAGAAUAAUCCCCAAGCACACUGGAGCAGUAUGGGAGUGGCAGAGAGAACCACUAAACCCCAAAAGACCAUGCAGGUGGGGAAGAGGGAAGGCCCCAUACACAACUAACUGCCUAGGCAAUGGACAUGCCACCAGCUGCCUAGAACACAGCAGAUAAUGAAUCAAUCAAUCAAUACCUCCAUUAAUAAGUGUCAUUGAGGGCUAAAUCAAAUAGUCACCUGUGACACUGUGGUACCUAGUAAACUCCAUAGAAUUUAAGCAGAAUCCUGAGGAAACCAGGAUUAAAAUGCUGCCAUCCUGAAUUGAAAAAGAAAAACAAAAAUUUUCAUUUCUCGCAUGGUCAAAGCUGUGAACUGAGAUUUACACUUGCAAUGCUUAUGUGUGAAAACUGAAUUACACACAGUAACUUUUACUGCUCUGUGAGACUGUUUAUAUGGAAUGGGAUUUAUUCAUUUCUUGACAGUUUGAGCACCUUCACCAUCAAUACUAACUAUACAUACAUACAAAUGUAGCUUUUGAGGAAAUGGAUAGAAUUUUGAAAACAUUGACAUUGGUGUUUUGGGAAGUUUUUGCUAUUUUUACUUUCUUUCAGUAUUUUUUUCUUCUAACUUUUAUUUUAGGUUCAGAGUUACGAGUGCAGGUUUGUUACAUGAGUAAAUUGCAUGUCACUGGGGUUUGGUGUAUGAAUUAUUUCAUCAUCCAGGUAGUGAGCAUAGUACCCCAUAGGUAGUUUUUCAGUUCUCCCCAUCCUCUCACCCUCCACCCUUAAGCAGGCCGCAGUGUCUACUGUUCCCUUCUUUGUGUCUAUGUGUACUCAAUGUUUAGAUCCUACUUACAAGUAAGAAUAUACAAUGUGUUUUUUAAAAGGAAUCACAUUAUUUACUUUUCCUUCUUGUUUGGAGUAAUAAAUACUAUUUUCCUUUAUUAAAAAGUGAUAUGUGUCAUGGCUGGGCACAGUGGCUCACAACUACAAUUCCAGCACUUUGGAGGCUGAAGUGGGAGGAUCACUUGAGGAGUUUGAGACCAGCCUGGGCAACAUAGCAACACUCUGUCUCUAUAAAAACUAAAAAAAUUUAAGUGGUGGUAUGCGUCUGUAGUUCCAGCUACUUGGGAGGCUGAGGUAGGAGGAUCACUUGAGCCCAAGAGGUUUAGGCCACAGUGAACCAUGAUCUGUCUACCACACUCCAGCCUAGGCAAUAGAGUGAAACUCAGUUAAAAAAAAAAAAAGUGGUAUGAGUCUCUUGUAGAAAAUUCAGAUGAAGCAAAGACAUUUUAAAUUAUCUAAUUUUAUGAUUCAGAAAUACUGUUGUUAAGAAAUUGGUAUCUUUAUCUGUAAUUAUUAAAUAUAUCAUGCUUAAUAUUUGAUCAUCUAUAUUUUCUGUAUUUUCCAUUUCUUUUAGACAUUUUAAUCAAUUAUUUAUAAUUAUAUGGAGUAUUUACUUAUAAUUUGUAUUUUCAAGUAUCUUAUAAUGUUAUUUUUUUAACCCCUCAACUAGUUUUAUUACCAAAAUAAAAACUGUAGCAGCUACACACAUUUUCUUCCUUUCUUAUUGUACAUAACACUGAGUGUUGGUGGUUAAUUUUACAACCUAGCCUUUAGAUUAUAGAAUGUCCAAGAUACAAUGGUGACUAAAAGAGACGAGGACUUAACAUCACCCUGGGAUGAAUGCAGUGGCUGCAGCCGCCUCCUCGCAGGGGUCCACUCUGUGCUCCCUGCUUUGGGGAAAGAGUGAACUUGUAUUCAUCUGUAUGAGAAAUAUAGUUGCAUUCUGUUAGGAAGAAGUGUUUAUAAUGUUAUUUUAAAAUAUAAUUUAAAUAUUUGUCAUGGUAAAAUUUGGGAAAUAAACACAAAUAUAAACAUACAACAAAUAACUUGUAAUACCAUCACAGAGAGAGAACAAUUGUUAACAUUUUAGUGUUUUCAUUUCAGGUCUUUGUGUUUACACAUACAUCACACAUGUACAAAUUGAGAUUAUAUGAUAUAUUAUAUUAUAAUUUGUAAACUUAAAAAUUCUCUUUACAUAUAUGCGCUUUCAUUUUUUUCUUUACUAGAUUUGUUACAAAACUUUCAGUCAUCAUAUAAAAUAAAUUUUUAUUAAUUAUUACAUAUAUUGUGUUUAUUUGAAUUAUUUCUAGUUUAGGUUUAUUAUGUUCUUGUUCCUGUUCUCUUAAAAAUGUCUUUGUUGACACUUGUUUCUUGGUUGGGCAGUUUAUUUAUUUUCCUCCUUUUAUUCAGAAUAAUAAAGACAUCUAUGACUGUGGCAAAGUGAAAGCUAAAGAGUAUGUUAUUUUCUCAUUAUUUUUAUUUUUCCUCCUUAAUUCAAUAGUUAUUUGAGAUAUUGGAUUUUAAAAUAGAUACACAAGUUAAUAUUUUUAAAGUGGCAUUUUUUAUGAUUCUAACACUUUGGAGAGAAAUAUGAAAGCACAAUAAAAGUAAAAAUUAACUGUAUUCCAUAAUACAGCAAUAACUGUUAUCAAUAUUUAGUCACAUAUACUUUUCAUUGUUACCAGCAUAUGUAAAAUACAUUGAAAUGAGAUAAUAUUGUAUAUAUUGCUUUGUGAAAUGCCUUUUUCUGCUUCAUAACACGGCAUGAAUAUUUCACCACAGUAUAAUUUUAUAAUGUUCCUGUAGAAUCUUACCAUAUUGAAUGCUUGGAACAUUUAUUCCCUUUUUUCCUAUAGCAGACACUCUUGUACAUAAAAUCAUUAUAGAUAGAUCUGAUUAGUUCUCCAGGAAAACUCCUGAAAUUGAAUUAUUGGGUCAACUUUUAAGGGCAUUUUAAGGCUUUUGAUUUAUAGUAGUAAUUAGUUCUACAGAAAAGUCACCCAAACUUACACUUCCAUCAGUAGUAAAUAAAAGGUCCUUUUCAUACUAUUUCUAUUUCUUUUUUAUGAGUAACUUCACGUUUCUAUUCAUUAAACAAUCAUUGAUUCCAUUUUUUUCUUAUUUACUUGUUACAGCUUUUACAAGUUUAUUAUCCCUUUGUGGACCAUGUUGUUUCUUUUUUUCUUUUUUUUUUUUGUCAUUUACCUUUUAAAUUUGCCUUCGCUUGCUUUUUCUAUUUAAACGUUUAUUUCUUUCCAAUUUUGUUGCAUUUUGGUUAUUUAUAAAUAUUAUACAAGUGAUCAUUGCUAAAGUAUACAUGAGUGUAGCUGUCUCUUGUGUUUAUUCUAUCUGAUUUUUUCAUGGUUAUCUCCCUGUUGCCUUGAGAAAGACAGUUGUCACUUAGUUCUCUGGCAGUGUUCUUUCCUGUUCUUUGUUAAUUCCAUAAGAGCCCUUGCAUCAAUUCAUUUUCCAACUCUCCCUCUUACUUGUUCCAGCAAGUAAAAUCAAAUUGGUGUUUAUACAAUGAAUAAACCAAAGGUAACUGAGAUCAAAGUUUUCUGGAAGAUGAUUGAUAAGGGGACUUUGGUGUAAUACUUGUAUUAAAAAGUAAAUAUUUAAUUGGAAAGCAAUACAUUAAAAGGACACUAUGUAUUUUUAAUUAACUUCAUUCUGUUGCAAUUCCAUUCUAUUUCCCUCUGCAAUUAUACUUUCUUCUGAGUCAUCUACUUCUCUUUCUCUCUCUUUGUCAGAUCAUUCCCAUAUACAACCAUGGGCUGGUGUCUCCAAUUCUAAAAUGAACAAACAAGCAAAACACAAGCUAAUAAUACAUAAAUUAACCUCCCUUUGUUCCGCAUGAGCUUGUGCCUAUUUCUACGCAGUCCUUCAAUUCAAAACGGCUGGCUAGUGUUGUCAGGAGCUGCCAUUUCCACUUCCUCUCAUCACAUUUCCUCUGCUAACAUUUCUAGUCACACUGUUUCCCCAUUUCUUCACUGAGGCAGCUCUUGUGGAGGUCACCAAUGUGCCCCGUUUUGUUAUAUCCAGUGGUCACUUCCCUGUUCUGAUUUCACUUGCUCUUUCAGCAGCAGCAGACAAGGACGGCCACCACUUCCUUCUGCUCUUGAUUUCAGUGGUGCCACUCCCUCCUGAUUUCCUCCUAUCCCUUGGGCUGUAUCUCCAUAGCCUCCUUUUUUGGAUCAUCUUUUUCUGCUUGGCCUGGAAAUACUGGGAAACUCUAAAAUUAAUACUGGACUCAUUUUCUUCCCUAUCUACAUAAUCUCCCUAUAAGACUUUAUCCUGUCCUGUGGAUUAAAAUUCUAUGUAAGGGCUUUUCAAUGUCUGUUUUCUUUCACUCAGCAAAAUGUUUUUGAAAGUCAUCCUUGGAAUUGCAUGCCGUACUAGUUUGCUUGUUUCAUGUUUAUUGCUGUGUAGUAUUACAUUAUGUGACUAUACCACAAAUGGUAUAUUUAUUCACCUCUUGGUGGACAUUAGGGUCAUGCUUGGUUUUGGCUACUAUAAGUAAAGCUACAAUGCACAUUCAAGUUAUAUGCAUCUCUAUAUGGAAAUAGUUUUCAUUUUGGGGGCAGUGAGGGAAUGCUUUGGUGAGGAAUUGCUGCAUCCUUUGACAAGUGUAUGUUUAACUUUAGGAGAAACAGCCAAAAUAUUUUCCAAAGCAGUUGUACCAUUUCACAUUCCCACCUGCCAUGUAUGAAGUUCCACUUGCUCUACAUGCUUGCUAUUAUCUGUUAUUGCUUGAUUUUUUUAAAAAGAGCCUUUCUAAUGGAUCAGUCAUGAUUUUAAUUUGUGUUUUCUGAUGAGUAAUGUUCUUAAACACCUUUUUGUGUACUUACUGGGGAAAUGGCCAAAUUUGUUAGGUUAUUUUUCUAUUAUUGAGUUGCAAGACUGGUUUGUAUAGUCUGUAUAUAUAUCCUUUAUCAGAUAUAUGUGCUGGGAAUAAUUUUUUCCAGUUUAUACCAGGCUCUAUCCCUCUAUCUAAGGAUGCAACUUCUCUACAAAUAGCCGACUGUACAGGAUUCAGCUUCUUUCUGGAUUCAAGUAGCCACACUCUCAUCCUCCCUUCAGGUCUACACAUGAUACAAGCCAGGCUGCCUCUCACUAGGGAACACUGCACCAAUAUAUACCAUUCUCCUACACACACGUUUGUGUGCAGGAGAUAUUUCUUUUGAAAGUAAACACUCCUUUAGCCAUAUUUCUCCUUAUGGUCCCUUUUCCUCUAUUCUUUUCCCUUUUCCUCUGUUCUUUUCUCUUUUUUUCUUUCUUCUUCCUUCUUCUUUCCUUCCUUUCUUCUUUUCUUCCUUCCUUCCUUUCAUUCUUUCUGAUUGAAAGAAUCUUCCCCCACUGGAAUAUAAACAUUAUGAAAGAACUGACCCAUGAGUCUUAAAAGUGAUCGCUGUAUCUUUUUAAAAAGGCUUGCUAAAUAAAUAUUUGUUGAAUGAAUAAACGUGUGAAUAAAGAGCAAAUUUUUUUCCAGGAAAAAAGCCUAGUUUGAUUCCAGGUUGAUAGAAAGUUUUAAUAAACCUAAAGAAAAAUAUAAAAGGAGACUUUCUCCUUCUACAAACCAGGCCUUUAGGACAGCUUCAUCAGCAGGGGGAGUGAGCAAGAGACUGGGCAGCACCACAGAAAGCUUCUGCAAAGCUUCUCUAAACACCAAUGCCCAGGGUUCACACCAGGCACACUGAGGCAGGACCCCUGCAAGUAGGUUCUAGGAAUCUCUGCUUUUCAAAAACUCUCCAGGUAAUUCUAGCACAGUGAGUUGCUCCUCCACGCAGCCUCCGCUGCUGCUUCCUCUGGCUUCACAUCACACCACCAUAAGCCACAUUUCUCUGCAGGUCAAAGAUGAAGGUCAGUAUGGCAUGGUAAGGCCACACUGAAUGUUUAUAAAAAAUAUCUACUACUAUUUGUAUAAUGUUUCUUUCAGUCUUGGUCCUUGGAAAACAAGUAUCAGUCUGUCAUUGUAUUCAAAGGCAGAAUUCAGUCUUAAAUUUUGGCAAGAAGUUCAAAACUUGAUAAUACUCAGUUAUAAUCUAAACAAUUAAUUCACAGUGAUCCUCAAGCAAAAUGAAUUGUUGUUACCUCAUCCUGGUUAAGAAACAUUAUAAGGGAUUCUAUUAUGAUGCAAAUUACUCCUUUAAAGUCUGUUUCCUUACAGAAAUAAGCCUGUUUUGCCACUCCUAUUCAACAUAGUACUGGAAGUCCUGGCCAGAGCAAUCAGGCAAGAGAACGAAAUAAAAGGCAUUCAAAUAGGAAGCGAGGAAGUCAAAUUAUCUCUGUUCACAGAUGGCAUGAUUCCAUAUCUAGAAAACCCCAUAGUCCAGGCCCAAAAGCUUCUUAAGGCUGAUAAACAACUUCAGCAAAGUUUCAGAAUAUAAAAUUAAUGUACAAAAAUAAGUAGUAUUCCUGUCCAGCAACAACAUCCAACAUGAAAGCCAAGUUAAGAACACAAGUCCAGUCAUAGUUGCCACAAAAACAAUAAAAUACCUAAGAAUACAGCUAACCGGGGAGGUGAAAGAUCUCUACAAUGAGAACUACAAAAUACUGCUCAAAGAAAUCAGAGGUGACACAAACAAAUGGAAAACAUUCCCUGCUCACAGACAGAAAGAGUCAAUAUUGUUAAAAUGGCCAUACUACUCAAAGUAGUUUACAGAUUCAAUGCUACUCCUAUCAAACUCCAAUUACCUUCUUCACAGAAUUAGAAAAACUAUUUUAAAAUUCAUAUUAAACCAAAAAAGAGCUCAAAUAGCCAAGGCAAUCAUAAGCAAAGAGAACAAAACUAGAGGCAUCAUGUUACCUGACUUCCAGCUAUACUACAGGGCUACAGUAACCAAAACAGCAUGGUACUGGUAUAAAAACAGACACAUAGACCAAUGGAAAAGAACAGAGAACCCAGAAAUAAUGCCAUGAAUGUACAGCCAUCUGAUCUUCAAUAAAGUUGACAAAAACAAGCAGUGAAGAAAGGACUCCUUGUUCAAUGUUGGGAUAACUGGCUAGACAUAUGCAGAAAAUUGAAACUGGACCCCUUCCUUAUACUGUAUUCAAAAAUCAACUCAAGAUGGAGUAAAGACUUAAAUGUAAAACCUAAAACUAUAAAAACACUGGAAGAUAACCUAGAAAAUACCAUUCUGGAUAAGGGAUUUUAUCACAAAGAUGCCAAAAGCAACUGCAACAAAAACAAAAAUUGGCAAAUGGGACCCAGUUCAUCAAAAGAGCUUUUCUGUAUAGCAAAGGAAACUAUCAACAGAGUGAACAGACAACCUACAGAAUGGGAGAAAAUAUUUUCAAACUAUGCAUCUGACAAAAGUCUAAUAUCAAGAAUCUAUAAGGAGCUUAAACAAAUCAACAAGCAAAAAACAACCCCAUGAAAAACUGGGCAAAGGACAUGAACAGACACUUUUCAAAAGAAGACAUACAAGUGGUCAAGAAACAUGAAAAAAAUGCUCAACAUCACUAAUUAUUAGAGAAAUGCAAGUCAAAACUACAAUGAAAUACCAUCUCACACCAGUCAGAAUGGCUAUUAAAACAUUAAAAAAAUAACAGAUGCAGGUGAGCUUGUGAAGAAAAGGGAAUGCUUACAAACAGCUGGUGGGAACAUAAACUAGUUCAGCCAUUGUGGAAAGCAGUUUGGUGAUUUCUCAAAGAACUCAAAGCAGAAUUACCAUUCAACCCAGUAAUCCCAUUAUUGGGUAUAUAUCCAAAAAAUAUAAAUCAUUCCAUUAUAAAGAUAGAUGCAUGCAUUUGUUCAUCACAACACUAUUUACAAUAGCAAAGACAUGGAAUAAACCUACAUGCUCAUCCGUGGUAGACUAGAUAAAUAAAAUGUGAUACAUAUACACCAUGGAAUACUAUGCAGCUAUAAAAAGGAAUGAGAUCAUGUUCUUUGUUGGAACAUGGAUGGAGCUGGAGGCCAUAAUUCUAAACAAACUAAAACAGGAAGUGAAAACCAAAUACCAUAUGUUCUCGCUUAUAAGUGGGAGCUAAACGCUGACUACACAUGGACACAAAAAAGGGAACAACAGACCCAGGAGCCUACUUGAGAGUGGAGGGGCAGAGGAGGGUGAGGAUUAAAAAAUUACCUAUCGGGUACUAUGCUUAUUACCUGGAUGGUCAAAUAAUCUGUACAUCAAACCCCCAUGACACAAGUUUUCCUUUGUAACAUGAACCUAAAAUAAAAGUAAAAUAAAACUAACUCAUAUAAACAAGUUUAAAAAAAUGAGCCUGUUUUGAAGGAACUAGUUCCAAGUUCUUUACACACUGCUGCCAUCAUAAAGCAUGAGAGAACGUAGCCUUCUUAUUGAAGGAAAACUGAAUGCCGAGUGUUGCUCCAUUAAUCGACAGGCCUUCCCAAUUCAAUUCUACAUGACCACAAACAUGAUUCUCCAAUUUGUCCUUUUUCUUCACAUCUUCGCUUGCAUUCUAACUACCUAGAUUAUUCAAAGAAACCUCUUAUCCCUUUAAAUGAUUUCAGUUUCUAUGACAUUCUGAAUUCUCCCUGCUGUGAAUUAAAACUUGCCGAAGCAGAGCUCCAUGCAUGUUCCUCUCACACUUCAACACUCUCGACCUGUUUUACAAUGUCAUCUACCUUCCCAUCCUCCAAAUGCAUUUUACAAAUUUCAACCUCAGUGCUUUUGUUUUCAAAUAUUCCUGGCUUGUUCAUUAGUAGUUCCAAAAUUUCUAUAAAGGAGAGACUCUGGGACAGUUCUGUGACUGGAAAGACUGAGGGUUGCUAGCUGGGGACUUUUGUGAAGAUGGCAUGUUGGUUUUAUUUAUACCGCAGUUCAGUUUUUUGGAGGGGGAAGUUGUGGGUAUUAUGAUUAUGUAGUGUAGGGAUGGGGAUGUUAAAUUCUUGGCUACCAAUUUUUUAAAUCUCCCAAAAUGCACUUCUUCAUCCCAUGACCUGUCCAAUGUGUACUCAUUUUAUAGAAUGGGCCUCAUGUCUGAACUCCUUAAAAAUUACUCUUGACAAUCUCUGGUAACUUUCUUAAUGCUUUUUGUUUUAGUCCCACAUUAAUUAUACAUGAAAAUAUGUCUGGGCUCUCCAACUACAGUCCAACUGGACUGAGCACAAGAAAUACAUCUGAACUGAAGUAUCUAUUUAGCAUUUAACAUGGUUCUGUUAAAGUAGCAGGCAGCUAACUGACAUUUUUUGUCCAUUCACUUAGAUAACUAAAAUUGUAAUGGAAAUAAAUAAGUAUGUGAAAGAAAGUAGUGAUUGUCCAAAAGUGUCUUGAAGACAUUUUGAGUCAGAAGACAUGGGUGCAAUUCUACCACUGUGACCUUUGCAGAGUGCUAUAGUUUAGAUGUUUUGUCUCUCCCAAUCUCAUGUUGAAAUGUGAUCUCCAAUGUUGGAGGUGGGACCUGGCGGGAGGUGUUUUGAUCAUGGGGGUAAAUCCCUCAUGAAUGGCUUGGUGCCAUCUUUGAGUUCUCACACUAUGAGUUCACAAAAGAUCUGAUUGUUCAAAAGAGCCUGGAACUACCUCCUCUCUCUUUUGUUUCUUCUCUUGCAAUGUGACACACUGGUUCCCCUUUGCCUUCUGCCAUGAUUGGAAGCUUCCUGAGAUCUCAGCAAAAGCAGAUGCUAGUGCCAUGCUUCCUGUACAGCCUGCAGAACCGUGAGCCAAAUAAACCUCUUUUCUCUAUAAAUUACUCAGCCUCAGAUAUUUCUUUAUAGUAACACAAAAAUGGACUCAUACACUGAGUUAGCCACAUUUAUUCCCAGUUUUCCAAUGUUUGUGAGCCAUACGUGUGAUAAGGAGUUAAUUUCCAAAAUACUUAAGAAACAUAUUUGCUACAAUAUUUGCUAAAACUCAAUAGCAAAAAAAAAAAAAAAAAAAAAAAAAAACAACCUGGUAGCACAAUUUUUAAAUGAGCUAAAGACCUGAAUAGACAUUUCUUCAAGAAAACAUACAAAUGGCCAACUUGUAUAUGAAAAGUUGCUCAGUGUCACUAAUCACGAAGAAAUUGCAAAUCAAAACCACAAUGUGAGAUAUCACCCUACUCCUGUUAAGAUGUCUAUUAUCAAAAAAACAAAGACAACAAAUGUCGGUGAGGAUACAGAGAAAUUGAAUCCCUUGUACAUAGUUGGUGGGCAUGUAAAAUUGUGCAGCCAUAAUGAAAAACAGUAUUGAAGUGCCUCAAAAAAUUAAAAAUAGAGCUAACAUAUGAUCCAACAGUUCAACUUCUGGGUAUUUAUUCAAAAGGAUUGAAAUAAGGAUCUUGAAGAGAAAUUAAUACUCCCACGUUCAUUGCAGCAUUAUUAACAAUAGUCAAGAUGUAGAAACAACCUAAAUAUUCAUUGGAAGGUAAACGAAUCAAGAAAGUUUGGUGUAUACAUUCAGUGGAAUACUAUUCAGCCUUAGAAAAGAAGGACAUUCCGCAACAUGUGAAAACAUGGAUGAACUUUGAGGACAUUAUGCUAAGUCAGUCACAGAAAGGUAAAUACUGCAUGAUUUCACUUACAUAAGGAAUCUAAAACUGUCAAUUUCAUAAAAGCAGAGAGUAGAAUGGUGUUUGCUAGGGGCUGGAGGGAGAGGAGAAGGGGAAGUUACAGUCCAAUGGAUAUAAAAUUGCAGUUUUGUGAAAUCAAUAAGUUAUAGAGAUCUGAUGUACAGCGUCAUGCCUACAGUUAACAAUACUGUAUUGUACACUUGAAAUCUGUUAAGAAGGUAAAUCUCAUGUUAAGUGUUCUUAUCACAAAUGAAAAAUAAAGGGGAAUGAGGAAGACCUUUUCAAAAGUCUGGAAUGAGGAUAAAAUGAGACUAUGAAUGGGAAAAUACUGUGUAAACUGUAAAACUUUACACAAAUGUUAAUUCAUAAAGCAGCCAGGACCAUCUUUUUAAAUCUAAUAAUCAGGUUGUCUCAUUCGUAAGCUUAAAACUCUUCAAACAUAAUAUUUUGCAAUAAUAAAAGGCUCUCUCUAGCCUCAUCUGUCUUUCAUCACCACACACACACAUGCAUGCACACACAUGCAUGCACACACACACGUACACAUACAUGCACACGGGUAUUUCAGCAGUUUAGCCUCCCUUCCAUUCUUGUAAUAUUUCAAGUCCCUUCUAUCCCCGAGUCUUUCUUAUCCUUCAGCUCUUAGAUCAAACACAACCUCUACAGAGACCUUUCCAGACCAUCCUAUCUGAAUAACCUUCUCCCACCCCUUGCCUACUCAUUCAUCAUCUUGUUUAUUACUACCUAAUGCCACACUUUGAAAUCAUCUUGCUCAAUUUUUUUUGUUUGUUUUCUUAUUCAUCAUCGCUCCUGGCUCCGUGGGUUCAGGGUGUGGCCUGUCUCUCUUCUGUCCCCAGUAUCAGAGCAGAAUCUGGUACAUGGUAGACACUCAGUACCUGCGUGUAAAAAUUGAAUGAGGAUGUUAAGUGUUCCCACCACAAAAAUGACAACUAUGUGAGAUAAUGCAAGCUAGAUUUAGCCAUUCCACAAUGUAUAUAUACAGUAGUCCCUACUUAUCCAUUCCAAGAGGAUACAUUCCAAGACCCUCAGUAAAUGCCUGAAACCAUGCAUAGUACCAAACCCUACAUAUACUUGCGAAAGGAAAACCAAAACUUAGGAACCUAAUUUCACUCUGCUAAAAGAAAAUAUUAAGCUGAAAGCUGAGUCAUGCAAGAAGCUGCUUUUCCUUUUAUUCCCAAGCAGAGUAGUACAGAUAAAAGGUUAAACAUCUCCACAGGUAGCUACUGUACCCUCACCUUAUCUUAAGUGAAGCGCCGAUUUACUGAGAGCUAGAAGAACACAUAAUAGGCUAUUCCCCUACCUGCUCCUUUUCUCUUGCAACACAUGGAUUCAGUCAUGUAACCACAACUUCCCUCUUUCCCCUUUAAAUACCAAAGCCCUCAGAAUCGUCUUUGGAGCAAGGCACAGACCUCCCUUGCGGGCAUUUCCUUAACCUUGGCAAAAUUAACUUCUGAAUUGAUGGAGACCUUUCUCAGAUACUUUUUGGUUUACACACUAUACUUGGCAGUCAGUCUGAUCACCAAGACAGCUAAGUGACUAAUGGGCAGGUAGUGUAUAACAGCCCAGGUACGCCGGACAAAGGGAUGAUUCACAUCCUGGGUGUGAUGGACGGGACAGUAUGAUAUUUCAUCACACUACUGAGAAUGGCACACAAUUUAAAACUGAUUCUUAAUUUCUGGAAUUUUCCAUCUAACACUUUUGGACCAUGGUUGACCACAAGUAACUGAGACCGCAGAAAGGAAACUGCAGAUAAGGGAAGACUACUGUACUUCAGAACAUCAUGUUGUUCAUAAUAAAUACAAACAAUUUUUCUGUCAACUAAAAAAUAAAUAAAAAUAAAAUGUUUACUACCAUAAAAAGAAAAUGUGAUAUACACAUAUAAUGGAAUAUUAUUCAGCCUUUACACGGAAGGAAAUUCUAACACAUUUCUGCAACAUGGGUAAACCUUGAAGACAUUAGGCUGAAUUAAGUGCACCAUUUGAUUCAAUACAUAUUCUUUUAAAAAAUCUAUUCCACGUCCUCUAAAAUAUACCAUACAACUUUCAAACACUGAAAAAAUACACAAAAAAUAUAAAGUAGAAAAGGUGUUAGGAGUUAUCUUAGUGAGUAUUUUUACAAAACAGUAGUUAAAAGAUUAUAGCAGAUGGAAAUAAAGUAAACAAAAUAGCAUUAAAGCAUUUAAACAUCAUUAAAAAGAUUAAAUCAUUGUUGGUUUUAAAAUACACCUAUCCUCUUUCUCUUUUCAUAAUAUGUACCUCAAAAAUACAAUAAAAUACUAGUAGAAAUUAUCUCUAGAAGUUGAUAUCACAGAAAUUAUUUUUGCCUUGAGUUUUUUGCGAUGAUAAUGUAUUACUCUUAAAAUCAGAGAAGCUGUAAUGCCAUUUCAAACAAAGUAGAAAAGCCUCCCCAUUCCCUGCCCCACCACUUCCCUCUUGCAAUGCGGUUUUUCAAUAGAAGCGCAGAGUAGAGGAAGGUGAUCCUAAGGAUUCUCCUCCUAAGAGGGCCAGGACUGCACCUCGCUGGCCUGGGGUUCACACAGGACUGGUCCUGGAGCCCUGCCUGCUCCAUCUGGGGGAGGAAGCCCAGGACUGGGCUGCAGGUUUGUGAAUAGGGGCACCGAGGCGUGCAGCGACGCUGAGUGACUCUUCCAUAAUGCAGGGCUGAGUGGGCAGCAGGCCAGACGUGGGUCAGGGAGCGUUCAUCCCGAACCGUGUCCAGCCCUGGCCUCGCCGGCCCAAGUCGCCCGCCCUGUGCAGCCAGGGGACGGCGACGAGGCUGAAGUGCCGCUUGUUUCCGAGCCUGGAUGAGUAAUGACGCGUUUCUUUUCCAGAAGCAACGUAAAUCUGGCUUGAGGCUGGCACAACACAGCAGGAGCAGUGCAGGCUGGUGGCCAGGCGCCCGGCCCUGCGGCUGCCGAAUCUUCGCGAAGCCUGCAUCCGAGGCGCGCACUGGUUCCAGGCCCUGCGGCCAUGCGAGGGAAGCCGCAGCGGUGGCCGCAGCGGUGGCGGCUCCUAGAGCGGUGCGGGCUGGUGCUGGCGGCAGGUGGGAUGGAGGGGGGUGGGCUCUUCAUGUCUCUCAACCCCUGAUUAGAAUCCGUGUCGAUUUCUGGACACGCGGGCCGAGAGGAGCUGAGAUCCGGCCGGCAUUUCUCAGCCAUGAGUUCUUUUUUGUUUGUUUGUCUUUGUUUGUGUUUGUUUUGAGACGGAGUCUUGCUCUGUCCCCAGGCUGGAGUGCAAUGGCGCGAUCUCGGCUCAGUGCAACCUUCGCCUCCCGGGUUCAAGCGAUUCUCCUGCCUCAGCCUCCUGAGUAGCUGGGAUUACAGGCGCCUGCCACCACGCCCAGCUAAUUUUUGUAUUUUUAGUUGAGAUGGGGUUUCGCUAUGUUGGCCAGGCUGGUCUCGAACUCCUGACCUCGUGAUCCGCCUGCCUCGGCCUCCCAAAGUGCUGGGACUACAGGCAUGAGUAACCGCGCUUGGCAACCAUGGGUUCAAAGCAGGCGCAGGGAAGCUUCCGGAGGGUGCCUGGACGGCAGCUAAAUGGUUGGGGCCUGGCUCCUGGCUGACCCUGUCUCAUCCCGGGUGGCCGGCUCCCACCCGUUUCUACAGGGCCGGCCUCCUGCCCUAGGAUUCUGACUCUGCAGGCUUCCUAGCCCAGGAUUCCUUUUUUUUUUUUUUUUUUUUUUUGAGACAGAGUCUCACUCUGUCGCCCAGGCUGGAGCGCAGUGGUGCGAUCUCGGCUCACCGGUUUCACCGUGUUAACCAGGAUGGUCUUGGUCUCCCGACCUCGUGAUCCGCCCACCUCGGCCUCCCAAAGUGCUGGGAUUACAGGCUUGAACCGCCGCGCCCGGCCCCGAGCCCACGAUUCUAACACGCAGUGGAGGCUGAGAGCCUUGGCUGGGGCGCCCUAGCGUCAAGCUCACCAUGUGGCCUUUGCGGCACGUCUGCUUCUCUCUGCCUGGACCGCUCGGGUUUGAAGGCCCAGGGCGGGCCCCAGACGUCUCAGGGGCCAUAGAGGCGCUGCUUCCGGAACUGCUGGAAGAGGAUGACCAACUGCUGCUGCCAGGUCGAAGCGUCCUUGCGGAGGGACCCUACCAGGAAGGACAGGGAGCCACAGCCCUAGUCCCCUCGGCUCUCCUCCCGCCUCCCAGUGCCUGGUCCAGUGUCCCAGUGGCGGAAGCGAACAGGGACCAAUCCGCAAAGGAGAAAUUGAGUUGGCAGUGACAUUGCCGGAAAAUCACUACUGCGGAGUGCGGAGAGGUGGUUUGGGGCUGAUAGGCAAUGGUUUAAUUGCAGGCAGAGUCUUGCGCCUGAUUUGCCUAUCAUAAUGUCCUUGGUGGAAGUUAUGGACUUCCACCCACCCUGCUCCCACCCUCAGUGUGUGCAUUAAAUUCAGAACUCUCACCAGGCCCUAUGUUUGCUGUGUCCCCUGCCUCACUUCAUGCCCUGUACAGUGACCUUCCGUCCUGUCCUCAUGCUCACCGCACAGUCUUUGACCAGAGUUUUUGCAUCCCCAUCUCUGCAACUUCCCUCAAAUCUGCUGCAAGGCAACACAUCCUCUGCCUCCUUUAAAUCCCGAUUCAAUCCUCACUGCCCCGACCUAAGUCAGUUCCGUCCAUCAUAAAGUCCCUUGACGCCAUGCAGCAAUUCAGCAAUUCAGCAUCAUAUUUAUCAAGGAAGCUUGCUUGCAUUUGUGAGAUCCCUUUGGCACCUCCCUCUGCUAGAGGAUAAAUGCCAAGGUCGUGAACUGCCUCUCUCUCUCUUUUUUUUUUUCUGAGACGAAGUCUUGCUCUGUCACCUAAGCUGGAGUGCAGUGGCACGAUCUCGGCUCACUGCACCCUCUGCCUCCCAGGUUCAAGCAAUUCCCCUACCUCAGCCUCGGCAGUAGCUGGGAUUACAGGCGCACACCCAGCUAAUUUUUGUAUUUUUAGUAGAGACGGGGGGUUUUACCAUGUUGGCCAGGCUGGUCUUGACCUCAGGUGGUACACCCGCCUCAGCCUCCCAAAGUGUUGGAAUUACAGGCGUGAGCCACCACACCUAGCCGAACUGCCUCUCUCUUUGCUGGCCUCUUAACACCUUGCCUGGCACAAAGGAGGUCCUCAAAAAUGUGUGUUGAAUAAAACUUGCACAAUUCACUAAGCAAGACUCCUGCACUAAAGAUACCUAUUUUAAAACUUACAGAGUUUCUAGUUAGCUAGAACAUAGUAUCCAAGAGGCUGAGAAUCUUUGCCUAACCAUUUUAGGACCCUUUUACUCCGUGAAGCCAGUGCCCAUCACAAUGGCUUUCACAGAGUAAAAGGGUCCUAAAGUGGUUUUCCUGGGCAUGGUGGCUCAUACCUGUAACUCCUGAAUUUUGAGAGGCCAAAGUGGGAAGAUUGCUUGAGGCCAGGAGCUCGAGACCAGCCUGAGCUACAUAUUGAGACCUCAUCUCUACAAAAAAGUUUUAAAAAUUAGCCAGAUGUGGUGAUACACACCUGUAGUCCUAGCUACUCAGGAGGCUGAGGUGGAAGGAUCUUCUGGGCCCAGGAGUUCAAGGUUUCAGUGAGCUAUGAUGGUGCCACUGCAUUCCAGCCUGAGCGACAGAGUGACAUGCUGUCUCUAAGAAAAAAAAAAGGGUUUUCACUCCUAUCUCUAAUAACUCCUCUUCUAAGAAAAUAUUACAAGAAUGUAAUCAGAAAGGCAGACAAAGAUUAAAUACAAAUUUAAUUAUUAUUUGCACAGAAACAGCUGGAAACAAGCUAAAUAUCCUAUGUUAGAGAAUAAUUGAAUAAACUAUCAAGUACUUCUUGAUGGAAUAUUAUGAUGCCAUGAAAAUAGUACCUGAGAAUUUCUUUUUUUUUUUUUUACUUUGGAAACAUUUUAUGGGAUGAGGAUAAGAAGAAAAUUUAAUAUGCUACAUGUUAAAUUAUUUCAACUGUGCAAAAAAUAUACAGAAAGCAAUUGGGAAAAGUAGCCAAAUAAAGAAUGAUGCUAGGUAGUUGAUUGUUUUAUUUUCUUUUAUUUUUACCCUUUUUGUAUUAUUCAAAUUUUCCACAGUGUCACAAUGAAUAAAUCAAAAGCUAUGUAAAAAUUAAAGAAUUUGCCGCAAGUCCUGGGUUCAUAACUGUGACUGAUAGACAGCAAAAGGGUAAGCAGCCAACAUAGCCAAUGAGGACCGCAUGCUAAUUAGGUUCCUGGCACAAUUUCGGAAUAUAAGAAGGGCAGACAGAUUAUCCUGGGGUCCUCUUGUUCAGGCUGGGGUGUGAACAAGUGAGGGUGAGCAUUCUUCCAGAGACCCUGCGAACAACUCAGUGGGGUCACGCAGUGCAGCUGUGCUUAGUGGAGGGUAGGCAGUCAGGACAAAGUGAAUCCUCGGGUUGUGACCCAGCACGUGAUGUUAGCAAUGUGGUGCCUUGGUGCAGACUGAGUAAUCUCUCCCAUUUCUCCUCCUCCUGAGAAAUUCACGAGGCAGAGAGUGGUGGACCGACAGGAAUAGCUGCCAACCCUGAGGCAGAGAUGGACGUCUAGGGAUCUCUGGUGGGAAACAUGCCUGAUCACAGAUAAGACUCCUCAAGCGGCAAAAACACCCUGGCCUAAGAAAUGGAUAGGAACGUAGUUUGAAACCUUGCACUCGAUCACCCUGUUCCCAGUGGAAAUAGAUGCCUGCGCUAUAGUAAGUGUAAACUUUCUCUCGCUGUCUUUCUUACACGCACACACACAAAUACACACAUUCUCUUUCAUGUUGACCUGAGGAAAGUGACCCAGUGGCCUGACCCAGAACCUGAUUCCUUGCACACAUCUUGGCGCAGCCAUUGAGGUGCCCAGCACCCAGACACACAGCAUUUAACUGGGGCAGCUGGCUUCUCAGACCUGCCUGGGAACGCUAACUGGGCAUUGGAUACGGUGCGAGAGAGAGCUCAGAAUGCGUUUAUGGUGUCCAGCAGAUGACCAUCCCAGUGUGGGACUUUACAGUAGUAAUGAGCAAUGGAAAUUUUGAAAAUAUUUCUCAGAAAACAACCGCUGGCCAGAGAGCCCUAAUUUAGGAAUCUUGCACAACUUUUCCAUCACGUGAUGAAUUUUGAGUUUCUAGUGUCACAUGUGCCAGAGUUUUCAGAGUCCUGAGGCCUGUUUUGCUUUGUUUUCUUUGCCUUUUUAUAAUACUAAAGAUUAAAGCUAGUCAGAUAUUUUGGGAUAUUUCAGUUAAACAAAUCUCUGUAUUUCAAAGCAAAAACGAUAGAUAAUACUGUUUUUGCUGGUGGAAAAUAAGCUAAUCGUCCUUGUUGCCUGAAGACUGCUUUUCAGCAGAACGGCCAGGCCCUGCCUUCACAUAGAGAUGUUACAGGCUCUGAGUGAAUGGAAUAGGUGUCCAGGCCAGGUAGGACUUAAAGUUUCUAACAACAAAUUAAAUGGUUGUUGUCGAGCAGAGUGAGUAGAGUUUCAUGAGUUACAUGAAGGAUUGUAGGUGUGGGUGCCCCUGAGCCUCCUCACACUUCAGUGUAUUUGCGAUGUUGCAUUGAUGCUGUUCCUGAGCUAGGGAUUCAGAAUUAAGCUGACGGAGCCCACGCCACGUGAACUCCAAUUCCCACUGCAGUGUCCUUGAUCCACACUGACAUUCCAGAGCACCCCCGUUCCGCUCUGCAGCAAAAGUUAAGACACCAGAAGCCUUUGUAAAUGAUCCCUGAACAUUCAAGCAUGUUCCUCCAGUCAAAAACCAAUACAAUGCCAAGGAUUUACAGGAAUUGUUUUGGAAAAUUAUAUACAUUGAAUUAGCCCACUCUUGUUCAAAAUCAUUGCACAUCCACUCUUGGAUAGAACAGUAUAAUGCAUGUAAAGCACUUGUCAAUCCAGACAGCUAUAUAAAUCUUAGUUAUUUUUAUAGUAUAAUUGACAGAGCUCUCAUCUUGAGUCAUCUAGCAAAUAAUUUAUAAGUGCCUACUACAUGCCAAGCAACAUUCUGGGCCCUGGGGAUAAAGGAAGGAAAACAGAUAAAAAUUCCCCAACCUAAUGGAACUUGUAGUAAGGGAGGAGAAAAUAAACAAGACCAAUAAGUAAAAUAACUUGUGCAUUAGAUAAAAAGAUAUGCAAGAGAAAAACAGAACAAAAAGGAGGGGUAUAUAUACUGGGGAGGGUGAGAACUUUAGGUAAAGUAGCAAGGAAGGCCUCCCCCAAGGGUGAUAGCUGGGUAAAGUUGAGGCCAGUGCAGCUGCAGUGCCUUGAGGGGUUUGGGAGGUGGGCGGUGGAGGGAGUAGGAGAUGGGGCCAGGGAUAGCAGAGCCCAAACUGUCUAAGGGAAUAGCCUUAAGGGACAUUUUAAUGAUGUUGGCUCUUACUCUGGGUGAGAUGGGACGUCACUGUAGGACUCCGAACAGGGAAACGGCACAAAUUUUAACUUCAUCACUGGCUUCUUCUUUGAGCUCUUUCUUGACCUCGGUUGUCUUGUCAUUGAAAAAAAAGGCAGCAAGUGUGGUUGUGUGCCAGGCCUAUCCUCCCACUUAAUCCCGCUGUUAGAUUUUAUGAUCUCUGCUUUAUUUUAGAGGCUAACGAGGGUAAGUAUCUGCCUAGAGUCAUGGAGCUAGUAACUGACGAAGCUAAGGUGGAAUUGAGUCUGUUAUUUUCUGUUCUAAUAACCGCAUCACCUUUCACAAAAUAAAUGCAUCUAUCAGAAGAAUUGGUGGACCAAUCUUGGGGACAUGGGGAGGCAAAGUUGAGUCACAGAGAGCCCUGGUUGAAAUAUAGGUUCCAUUUGGACAAAGUUCAGUUUACAAGGGACUUUCACAUCCAUGCCUCAUUUGAUAAGCAUGAUGGUACUAAAGCACCAUUGCCCGGAUUGCAGAGGAGGCACUUGGUAAGGUGUAGAAAGCAGAAUUUCAGAUGAUAGUCCAACACUGUAUUCUUCGCAACCUUCUCACUGCUGGACACCCAAGGACUCAGUAAGAGGGAACAGGAGAAAGAACAUGACUUCAAAACCUAGCUCAGAUGUUACCUGUCAAGUUAAGAAUUAGAAACACAAGUCCUGCAACUGGGCUUAUGAACACAGUUGAUCCCUGGGAGGUGGGGUGAUCCCCAGGAGAAAACAGGCAAAUCUGACUCGGGUCCCACACACUGCAGUCAUUAUUUUACUGUGUCUUAUAGGCUGUGCUUUGCUUUACGGGCUUAGAUCUACAUCUAAUUUGGUUCCCCUUCAAUAUUUCAAUCUUCAUUCAGGGCUCUGCUUCCCUGGGUCCACCCACGCCCUGUGUCCCCAGCUUGACCCGACAGCUUCCAUGAGUAAUCGGGUCUCCACCCUGGGGAUACCCUCCCAUCUGCAGGCUGCAUCUGCACUUGGCUUGGGACAGCCUUGGCCAGGGCUGCAGGGUGUUCCCUCGUGGCCGCCUGCCUCUGCUCCCUGCCCUUUGCCUCCCUCUGGUGGGCACAGUGGCCAUCCUGGCAGCAGGGCUUGGUCAGGGCCUUUGAAGUGACCUGCUGUGUCAGACUCUUUGGGGCUUAAUGUGGGUCAAACUCAUCUGCAGAGCUUGUUUUGAACACACAUUGCCAGGCCCCAGCCCCAGAGUGUUUGAUUCAGUCAGCCUGGGGUGCAUCCUGAUAAUGUGCAUUUUUAAACAGGUUCCCAGGUGAUGCUGAUGCUGCAGCACACUGAGGAAGCCACUGCUGCAGUCCCACCAGUUCACGGAAAGUGGCUGCAGUGUGCAAAUGUUUCAGAACUGCUGGGGCAGAGACCAAGGCCCUUGUUCCCUGAAACAUUGAUUAAGACGCCUAGGCUUCUCUGAUGCCUGGGUCCAUGUAUUUAACAAACGUUUAUUGCAUACACAAUGCGAGGUGCAACACAGUAGGCACAGCAGUCAUGACACACCCCCAGCACCUCACAGUCAGAGGAAAAACAAGGACAAAAGAGCCACAUUUAAGCAGAAUUAGAUUCCAAGCUGCAGUACAACAUUUUUGAGGAACUACCCCCCUCCAGGAUUAAAGUGUUUACUUUGGGAAAGUCCUUCUAAUAAUGGUAUACUUCCAAAUUCAUCAAUAAAAGACUUCAGCAGUUAAAAAAUAAUUAUCAUCAAGGAUAACAUUUUCAGACUACUGACUUUGCUCCAGGUCCUUUCAAAGUGUUGAUUCAUUUAUUCCACACAACAGCCUAUGGAAGUAGAUUCUGUUAUUUCCCCCCAUGUUACAGAUGUGAAAACUGAGAUACAGAGGGUUAAGUGACCUGCCCAGGACCACACAGAGAGGAAGAGGAGAAGUUAAGAUUCACACCCUACCGAUCUGGACGUUAUAGUCCAUUCAUAAAAUGAUUGUGAUACAUUUGAAAGCUAAAAAUGUUUUUUUUUCUGUUGAAAAAGUAACAAACACAUGUAUAAAAUCUGAAAUUUAAAAGGAGUUACAAUAUUUUCAAAAUUCCGCCAUGUCCCCACCACCCAGAGAGCUGCUGUUUACCUUCUGGUCUGCCAACUUCUUUAGGAACAAGAGAACUGCAAAUAUAUGGUACCCAAUUGAGAUACAGAAAAUUGUUGUAAUCUACAUUUUAUAUAAUGGUGCUUAGAAAUACAAUCUACACAUAAUUAUACAAAAUGCAUGUCUAUUGAAAAAAACUGAAUAACAGUAGAAAGAACAAAAUAAGAAUCAUUCAAUACUUCAGGAUUACAAAUUCAUACUCCAAGAGCUUACGAGAAUUAAAUGGAAAUUAAAGAACAUCUGUAUAGAUGCAAGAUAACGAGAUGAGGAACAUGUCUCUACAUAAAUAUUCACUGAAUUCCUGAUUUUCAUUUUUACACUGACAUUUUUACUUUGUGCCUUUAUGUUAUCAUUGAAGAUGUCCCUUCAGAUACUUCAGAUAUUUUACUUUACAUUUUAAUGGUUUUAGUGUGGUGGAGACACCCUGAGAAGCUACUCAAUCUUUCUCAUUCAGUAAUUUUCUAUUUUUCAUCUUAACUCAGGACAAAAAGACACAAACAGUUUAUGAUGUUAGAGAAAGAGUUGAAAGUAAAAUUGGUAGACAUAUGGAUUGUUAAUUUCUCUAGAGGAUCCCAAGGGAAAUAGAAAUAUUUUAACUGAGUGUUUUACAUUGUUAACUCAAUGCUUUGUCAUAUGUUUU